AUUCCUACGGGAGGCAGCAGUGGGGAAUUUUGGACAAUGGGCGCAAGCCUGAUCCAGCCAUGCCGCGUGAGUGAAGAAGGCCUUCGGGUUGUAAAGCCCUUUCGGCGGGGACGAAAAGAUUCGUGUUAACACCACGGAUCCAUGACGGUACCCGCAGAAGAAGCACCGGCUAACUACGUGCCAGCAGCCGCGGUAAUACGUAGGGUGCAGGCGUUAAUCGGAAUUACUGGGCGUAAAGCGUGCGCAGGCGGUUUGUUAAGACAGAUGUGAAAUCCCCGGGCUUAACCUGGGAACUGCGUUUGUAACUGGCAAGCUAGAGUGUGGCAGAGGGGGGUGGAAUUCCAGGUGUAGCAGUGAAAUGCGUAGAGAUCUGGAGGAACACCGAUGGCGAAGGCAGCCCCCUGGGCUAACACUGACGCUCAUGCACGAAAGCGUGGGGAGCAAACAGGAUUAGAUACCCUGGUAGUCCACGCCCUAAACUAUGUCAACUGGUUGUCGGGGAAGCAAUUCCUUGGUAACGAAGCUAACGCGUGAAGUUGACCGCCUGGGGAGUACGGCCGCAAGGUUAAAACUCAAAGGAAUUGACGGGGACUCGCACAAGCGGUGGAUUAUGUGGAUUAAUUCGAUGCAACGCGAAAAACCUUACCUACCCUUGACAUGCCCGGGAGCCAGAUGAGAGUUUGGUGUGCUCGAAAGAGAGCCGGGACACAGGUGCUGCAUGGCUGUCGUCAGCUCGUGUCGUGAGAUGUUGAGUUAAGUCCCGCAACGAGCGCAACCCUUGCCAUUAGUUGCUACAUUUAGUUGGGCACUCUAAUGGGACUGCCGGUGACAAACCGGAGGAAGGUGGGGAUGACGUCAAGUCCUCAUGGCCCUUAUGGGUAGGGCUUCACACGUCAUACAAUGGCGGAUACAGAGGGUUGCCAACCCGCGAGGGGGAGCCAAUCCCAGAAAGUCCGUCGUAGUCCGGAUCGGAGUCUGCAACUCGACUCCGUGAAGUCGGAAUCGCUAGUAAUCGCGGAUCAGCAUGUCGCGGUGAAUACGUUCCCGGGCCUUGUACACACCGCCAUCCAUAUG
RNAcentral lists this ribosomal RNA (1074 nucleotides) under uncultured beta proteobacterium. RNAcentral describes it as "bacterial SSU rRNA". It matches the Rfam family "Bacterial small subunit ribosomal RNA", at positions 335 to 1403 of the family's 1533-position model. Lineage: Bacteria; Pseudomonadati; Pseudomonadota; Betaproteobacteria. The record is from RNAcentral.